RNAcentral lists this long non-coding RNA (326 nucleotides) under Nicotiana tabacum (common tobacco). RNAcentral's name for it is "long non-coding RNA (NTAB_LNC008093)". Lineage: Eukaryota; Viridiplantae; Streptophyta; Magnoliopsida; Solanales; Solanaceae. The record is from RNAcentral.
UCGGCGAUAGGCGCUUCUCUCUGAAAUAUUAACGAUCAUCUUCCCAACAGUUGCACCAGUUGAUUUUGUACUCUUUAAAAUUCAAACUCCAUGGCAAUUUCCUCUCAAUCUUUUCUUUCUCUACUAAAGCAACAGGUAUGGAAUCUGAACUCUGCUUCACCAAAUUCUUAUGUUUUUCAAUUUGUCUUCUCCUAUUCAUAGUUUUUCCACAAUCUCCUUGCUUAUCAGGUCUCUGGCGCCAAUACUAUUUCAUCAUCUAUUUUUACCGCAAAAUCGCAGCCGAUAUUUAUCUCUCGCAAAAACAAUUUGUAAGUCCCUUGGUUUUG